GUCAGUACAUCAUAUCCUAUACUUGUGACAUGAUUGGUCGAGUUUUAUAUCCUAGUUGAUCUAAGUGGUUAGUCCUUGUGGUUCAUUGAGCAGUAUUUGCAUAUAUUUGAGAGGAUGUCGAUGUUAUCCCAUCCUAGUUGACCUGAGUGGUCGGUUCUUGUGCUUCCUUACAGUUGAUGACCUAUGCGGUCGAUGGGCCCUGGGGGGCAGGAUUGUCGGCUGGUUGCUGACGGUUGAUCAUUGACCAUAUUGCAUUGAUCGCCCGAUACUCGUCGCAUUUCACGAACACUGGCGGUCUGAUCCACCGCAAGGAGUGUUCUUUUCCGAAAAAGUGGUUGAAUGGUGACAACCCGUGAGCCCUAAAGGGGUUAUAUGCAUGUUAGAGCGGCAGUGGUACUGUCGGGAGGUGUUGCGGUGCGGACCUCCAGGGCAUUGGCUUGAGGUCUGCGGUGCUGACCAAGAGAGCAUUGGUUUCAGAUUGGGUACUUUUGGACUGAUUGUCCCAUUGACGCAUAUGUUUAUAGUAGCAGUCGUUGCAUGCAUACUCACAGAUCUUACUUUAUAGUUGUCUUGCUACUAUAGUAGAUAUUCAUGUAUGCUUUCUGUUCCAGUUACAGUAGCGGUAGCCGUUUAUUCAGUAUAGUUCUUACUUCCUUUCAGUUUAUCGCUAUUGUAUAUCUGCUCAUUACCUUGUUUAUUUCCACUGACCCAUGUUGUUGUAUAGUUCUUCCUGAUCCGGUGAGUACUCCUCGUCUUCUUCGGCUUGCGGUACCCACUGGGAGGGAAGACAUGUUUACAUGUUCUCACCUCCCCCACCAUUUUUCAGGUAUCGCGAGCGAUGAGUAGUGGGACGAGACGUGAGGUACAUGUGUAGCGGUCGAUAGAGCUUCCGACCCAGGUUAUUUCGAUUUAGUUAUUAUCCUUGGUAUUUCUGUUGAUAUAUAGUUUAGUUAGUUUAUGUGGUUCAGUAUUUAUUUACAUUUGAAAAUGUGGAUUUCUGGAUUUUGUAAAAUAAAAGGUUUUCUACCCCUCGUGGUAGCGUUUUUAAANNNNNNNNNNNNNUUAUCCUUGGUAUUUCUGUUGAUAUAUAGUUUAGUUAGUUUAUGUGGUUCAGUAUUUAUUUACAUUUGAAAAUGUGGAUUUCUGGAUUUUGCAAAAUAAAAGGUUUUCUACCCCUCGUGGUAGUGUUUUUAAAAGAAUAAAGGUUUCUGUGUAGGAAACAGUUUUCAAAAGAUUUUUGUGGAUUUCUGUUUAAACCUUGAAUGUAAAACUGUGAUGUGAAUGGUGAAUGUAUGAAUGUAUAGUUAUUUUUAUAUUCAUCUGAUUGUGGUUGUAUCCUGGUUGUACUGUGUAUUUGAUCGACGCCGUGCAAAUACAGGGGAGACUCUGUCCGUGUGAACAGUGGAUUCCCUGUAUUUGUGGCGGAUCUGGCAUACUCUGGGGUCAGGUUUUCAAAAAA
RNAcentral lists this long non-coding RNA (1459 nucleotides) under Ananas comosus (pineapple). Its description in RNAcentral is "long non-coding RNA (ACOM_LNC013701)". The record is from RNAcentral. Lineage: Eukaryota; Viridiplantae; Streptophyta; Magnoliopsida; Poales; Bromeliaceae.